CUUCAGCGAGCCGACCAGGACGGGCCGCUCCUCGGGCCGGUCCUUGCCGUAGGUGGCGAGCAGCGCCCCCGCCUC
RNAcentral lists this antisense RNA (75 nucleotides) under Streptomyces albus subsp. albus DSM 41398. Its description in RNAcentral is "ASpks TB sRNA". It matches the Rfam family "ASpks TB sRNA". The record is from Rfam by way of RNAcentral. Lineage: Bacteria; Bacillati; Actinomycetota; Actinomycetes; Kitasatosporales; Streptomycetaceae.